GUCUCUGCCGUGUUUUCCGCAGGAUGCGGACUCCGGGAGCAGGAACAGCCUCUGUGGCCUCAUUGGGGCUGCUUUGGCUUCUGGGACUUCCGUGGACCUGGAGCGCGGCGGCGGCGUUCGGUGUGUACGUGGGUAGCGGUGGCUGGCGCUUUCUGCGUAUCGUCUGCAAGACGGCGAGGCGAGACCUCUUUGGCCUCUCUGUUCUGAUCCGCGUGCGGCUAGAGCUACGACGACACCGGCGAGCAGGAGACACGAUCCCACGCAUCUUCCAGGCCGUGGCCCAGCGACAGCCGGAG
RNAcentral lists this long non-coding RNA (296 nucleotides) under Rattus norvegicus (Norway rat). RNAcentral's name for it is "long non-coding RNA NONRATT011385". Lineage: Eukaryota; Metazoa; Chordata; Mammalia; Rodentia; Muridae. The record is from RNAcentral.